GUUCUGCAUUUCUGUCCUGUAAGGAACAGUGAUUGCCCCUGCUCCGGAAGAUGUAAUGUGUAAGGUACCAUCCUGGGGGUGGCCCUCUCCAGACACCAAGCCUGCUGGCACCUUGAUCUUGGACUUCCCAGCCUCCAGAACUGUGAGAAAUAAAUUUCUGUUCUUUAUUAAUUACCCAGCAAUUUUUAUAGCUGCACAAAAUGGUUUAAGACAGAGGUCAUAGCAAGCUUCAGUUUUUACUUUUUCCCCUUGCAUCUGAACAAUUGCAAGCAGAAAGAACAACUGAGUGCUUUAUUUCUGCAACCACCAUGCUGCUACUGAGUGAAGGGGAAGGAGGGGUAAGAGCUUGCCUUCUUUCCUUGUGUUAAUUGCAACAUCUUCCAAAACCCAGCAAGGAAGGCAUGAAGUGAGCCUACCAAGGCCAGUCUCCAGAUGAGGGGACUAUAGCUACAGAUUGCUAUGUUUCCUGUUGGUGGUGGUAGCAAGAUUUCAUAGGGGCCUUUCUUGCCAUUGCUCAAAAUGAAAUGCAUUGACACCAAAGGAAGUGGUGAAACUGUGGGCAUUGUAUGCUUUAGAAAUUUGAUAUUUGGAAACCUGCAGACCUGAAGAGGCAGUAGCUUCUCCUGAAGAUCUGAUAUCCAAGGGCUACCCAGACAAGGAGCUGACUUGUCAGGAAGUGUGGUGGACCUUGACGCAAAAACUCAAACCACAAAUGUUUCACUUCUAAAUUUUUGCAGGCUUUGUUAUAUAGACAUUUUUGUUAAGCCCUGUCUAAAACAAUAGGAUGACUGGGUUCUUUCCCCUCCUCAUGGUGACUACGUGCAUCUUCUACGAACAUUCCCAUGUCAUGUGGUCAGCUUCCAAGAAAGACUUUACCAAUGAGUCUGUUUACAGAUUCUCAACCAGAGGACUUACAGGAAUGCACAGUAGCUAUUUGUUUGGGAUGCAGAGGUACAUGAGCCCCAGACCUCAUCCCCAAUCAGGCAGUUGGGUAGGAAUGGUGUGGUUACUGAUGGUGGGAGGACAGGGAUGGUGGGGACUUUCCUGUGGAGGGCCCACCACUGAAGAAAUCUCUCUACCUCCUGGUUUGAUCCAGGCUUUCCAGGGAUAAAAUAAGAGGGGGAAACAAAGAAGUAAUCAUUCCCCAGCCCCCAGUAUGCCCCAUCUCUGACUCAGCUCCCAGCAGAGCAGUAAUAGGUCCCUGCUUAUCAGAUGGCAUCGGAAGGGGGUGGGUGCCUGGGUGGGUGCCUGGCUGUGUGCAGUGAGGAGGUCUCAGCAGCAGCCUCUGAAGCCAACUGCUUGGCUGGAAUCUAGGUGCGCUACUCACUAGCUGGGGAACUUACAGCAAGUUACUUCACCUCUUACGCCUCAGUUUUCUCAUCUGCCAAAAGGGAGUACUAAUAGCAGCAUCAUUGACAAAAGCUGAAAGGUGGAAGCAAGCCAAGUGUUCAUCCACUGAGAAAUGCAUAAAUAAAAUGUGGCCUAGACAUACAUGGAAUACUAUUCAACCUCAAAGGAAGAGAAUCUGGACGUGUACUGCAACAUGGAUGAACUCUGAAGACAUCAUGCUGAGUCCAAGGACAAACACUGUAUGAUUCCACUUAGAUGAGGUACUUAGAGCUGUCAAAUUUGUAGAGAUAGAAAGUAGAAUGGUGCAGGUCAGGCGUUCAACACCAGCCUGGCCAACAUGGAAAAACCCUGUCUCUAUUAAAAAAUACAAAAAUUAGCCAGGCGUGGUGGUGUGCACCUGUAAUCCCAGCUACUCGGGAGGCUGAGGCAUAAGAAUCACUUGAACCCAGGAGGUGGAGGUUGCAGUGAGCCAAGAUCGCACCAUUGCACUCCAGCCUAGGCAAAAAGAGCAAGACUCCGUCUCAAAAAAAAAAAAAAAAAAAAGGAAAGUAGGACGGUGGCUGCCAGGGGCUGGAGGAAGAGGGGAAUGGGAAGUUCUUGCUUAAUGAGCAUAGUUUCAGUUUCGCAAGAUGAAGAGUUCCAGAGAUGGAUGGGAAGAUGGAUGCACAACAGUAUGAAUGUACUUAAUGCCACUGAACUACACACUUAAAAAUGGUUACGAUGGUAAAUGUUGUGUAUGUAUAUUUUACCACAAUUUUUAAAAAUAAAUAAGGAGAAAUAUUACCCACCUCAGGGUUGUUCUAGGAUUAAAUGAGUUAAUUCACUGGUUCUCUACCAGGGAGCUUUUGUCCCCUCCACUCUGCCCCCCAGGGGACAUUUUGUUCCCGGACCAAACUGAGGGUCAGGCUGCUAUUUCUCGCCACCUAAUAAUGAGAUGCAGAUGAACUGGGGAGGAAGAGAGGUUUUAUUUUCUGCAAUCGGUUACAGGGAGAAGGCCUGGAAAUUAUCACCAGACCAAUUCAAAAUUACAAAGUUUUCCAGAGCUUGUAUACCUUCUAAGCUGUAUGUCUACAUGUAAGUGUGCAUUCAUUUAAAGACAUAAGUGAUUAACUUCUUUUAAUCUAUAACUAAGGUCUCAGUACUGAAGACCUUCCUCUGGGGCCUCAGUAAAUUUGCUUAAUCUAAAUGGGUCCAAGUGGUGAGGUGAUUAUCCUUGUCUCCUGUUAAAUCACGGAGGUUUGGGGAGUUCCUUUAGACCCCCAAUAAACUUAUUUGUGGAGGCCUGGGGAGUUUCUUCAGACCCCCAGUAAAACUCAUCUAAUCCUAAAAGGGUCCUGUUAAGAAUUCUUUCAUUAUUUGGUCAUGCUUUAAGGCCCAGGAAAGGCCUAGGCAAGAUGCUUGGUGGGCUUCUGCUAUAUUCCAGCCUUUGUAUAAGGGCACUAGCUUUUUUUUAGCUUUUAAUGUUUAACUUAACCACUUAGUCAGUACUGAAACAGUUGUUAUGGAGGCCUGUGUUAGUGAGACCUGGCCUGCCACAAUUUGACAAAAGUUGGUUACCACAACUUGUAGAAGGCUGGUUGGUGCUACUGGCAUCUGGAGGGUAGAGGCCAGGGAUAUGAUGUAUUGUAUCCACAUCAACACACCAAAGACCUGUCCCACCCAGGAUGCCGAAGUUGAGAAGUUCCAGUGUAAAGUACCUGGUGCAGAGGCCAGAGGCAGUGGCUCACGGCUGCAAUCCCAGCACUUUGGGAGGCCAAGGCGGGCGGAUCAUCUGAGGUCAGGAGUUCAAGACCAGCCUGGCCAACAUGGCAGAACCCCCUCUACUAAAAAAUACAAAAAUUAGCCCGGCAUGGUGGUGCAGGCCUGUAGUCCCAGCUACUCCGAAGGCUGAGGCAGGAGAAUCGCUUGAACCCGGGAGGCAGAGGCUGCAGUGAGCUGAGACUGCAUUACUACACACCGGCCUGGGCGACAGUGAGGCUCUGUCUCCAAAAAAAGAAAAAAAAAACUCCCUCGUAAUUUCUAUCCGUUGUCCUCACUAAGAUUGGGUGUGUGCACACAUCCCUCACCUGAGCGUGUGUCGGCAGCAGCACUGAGGCCCCUGCACCGAGAGGCUGGCUGCCCGCGAUGUCCUCGUAACCCAGGACGCAAACGAUCGUUGUGGCAUAUUAGAACGCCAGACGCUAGGCGUCCUUCGCUGCAGCGCAGUCACCUUGUCGCCAUCAGCGGUCCCCUCUGUGCGGAUGGAAGCAGGGCAGUUUGCCCUUUGUUCUCUAGAGGCUGCCCUCACCUCGCUGUCCCCUGAGAGGAAAAGGCUGGUGGCCAAAGGCACAUCCAGAGCCACCCUUACAGCCCCGCGUGCAGCCUCUUGUGAGAGUCAGUGCACUUGGCACACAGAUUCUGCAACACUCCCGAUAUUUCCACCGGCGAUUGUGAUGGUAAGGUUUAGGGUGGCAGGGGUCAUAUUUAACCAGGAGAAAGAACUUACAUGUGGCAAAUGCGCAGAAGUAUAGUCAUGCAUAGAUGUGUGCACGAGAAACGGCCAGUUGCCAGUAGUGUGCAAACUCGUGGCUUAAACAGGUCCCAAGAGCCUUUCAUCCAUUGAUUUGUCCUUCCGUACCUCUCUUUUGGGAUGCGUGCAUGUCUAGGGGGUCACUUUUCCAUUCCCCUGACCCCAGCACCCCACCCUCAGUCUCUCUCCAGCGUCGGCUGAGCUCCUACUGCCAUCUUGUGGCCGUUCACGUAAGGUGCACCAGAGAGGCGGAGCCCCUGCUGUCCUUGUCCUAGGACUUGAUUUGCAGAGAUUUGGGAGGCUUCCUGACUCUGGGGUGCUCAUUUCCUUCACAAACAGAAAAAGAAAAGUCACUCCUGGGCACAUUGCUGUCAUGUGUGAGGCUGGAAGCACUCCCUACGAUGGGAUUCUCUCAACUGUCCCUAUUUGCAUCUCUAGUCCUCACGUAGUGCAAUUCACUGUGUGAGUGUGUGUGUGUGAGAGAGUGGGUGUGAGUUUGCGUGAGUGUGAGAGUGUGCGUGUGUGUGUGAGAGUAUGUGUGUGUGUGAGAGUGAGUGUGCGUGCGUGUGUGUGUGUGUGUGUGUGUCUGUGAUUAUUGGUAAGGGGAAGGUACAAGAAGCAGGGUAGGCACUGAUGCUAGUACUAUACUUCAAAGUCCUCAAGGAAGAAGUCUCGUUUUGAGCCAAGGAUUUGGGUGUUUCUAGAGAGAGGGAAAACGUGAGCUCCAGAGCUCAUGAAAAGCUCCAUCACAACAAAGGAUUGUCUUGUCUUUUUAGCCACAUCCUCCCAUUCACAUUGCAGCAUAUUGAGAUCUUGGCACUGUCUCCACUCUUUCUUUGGCAUAUGGCUUUCAAUUUGAGCUCCCUGAGGUGAAGAACCAUUCAAGUCCACAACCUGCAUCUCACACAGGGCUGAGCCUAGGGAAGGUAUUAAAUGUUUCUUGAAUGAGAGAACCUUAUCUUCAUUCAGAUGCUCUGUGGUCAGCAUAUCCUGUCGAUUCUUCUUCCAGAAAUCAUUUUCCUAUCCCUAGCCCCCUCUCUUUAUUCCCAGUGUCAAUGGAAUGCAUGCCAUGUGCCAUUCGGCCACUCAAAUUUUCCUUUAUGAUGAGAUGCUCAUUCCCCUUGACUGCACAAAGUUAAGUCCCUCCCCAGGGAUUUCCCUCCAUCCAAAGGAAACUGAUUCACCCAAGGUUAAAGCUCCUCCUGGGGGUAGCCCACAUCCUAUAACUAAUCAAUGUUGGCGGGGUGGCCCCAGCCCCUGUACCUCAAAUCCAGACAACUCUGAAGGACCAUCAGAGACCCAGAACUUCCUAUGGGAUUGGCUGAGGCCUCUGUGGUGACUGCAUUGCAGUUCAGCUUCUCCCUCUGGCCAAAGUGCUUCCUUCACUCCUCACAGGUUGAGGGCUAUGGUUGCACUGGAGAAAGACAGCAAAAGGCCAAGGGCAGUUACUCUUUGCGAGGACAAAGUGUUGAAGUCCAACAGGCCUCCUUGGUAGCAUAUAAAGAGAUCCUGAUCUUCUUCAACCAGAGGGCAGAAGCAGCUGAGGCUCAGAAGUGAAUGGAGCUCCAGAGAAGACUGGACUCUCCAUUUAGAUGAGUCCACUAUGCCAAGGCCCCAGCUGGGAGGGAGACUUGAGAUGGGAAUCAUGGCAGCUCUAGAGCUAUCUGUGAGAUUGGCUGAAGCCUCUGUCAUAACUGCAUCACAGUUCAACUUGAGGUUCUUGAAACCCCAGGUCCUCCAAACACUGGCCUGCAGAUGUGACCCAUACCCCUCUGCUUGAAGACAACUCAAAGACUCCUCAUGCCUUUCAUAACUUAUCCCCACCUCCCUGCGUGGCUAAAAGCUACAGUCAAGCCACAACACAACCAGGCCAGGAAUGUACUGGGUCCCUUGAGGGAGAAGGAGACUAUACAUCAAAGACGCUAUAGGGCCUAGCCAGCAUGUACUGGCAGAAGCAGAGAGGAUAUUUAUGGGGUGGGAUCUGGAGGGCACUGAAUCUAGAGAAAUAGAAUAUAAAGUUGGAUAAUAGAGAGUUUAUUAAUAUGAGGACAUUCUUCUAUGAUACAAGAUGAAUAUCCUGCUGAUAUGGACAGGAGACAGGGAAAUACUGGGUAGAAGAGGGCAGUUCCCUGGCAAAGGUCCCACCUUCAAGCCUGGAUACCCAUGGCCCUAAAUGGGAACAGGCAUUCCUGUUUUCAUGUUCAAAAGUUGCCUUUUAGCCUGCCACACCCGUUUAUCCUGUACCCAUAUAAACCCCAAACCCCCAGCUCCAGGAGUAGAUGAGCAGAUGAACAGAAGAGCAGCAGAGAAGGAGAGAAGAGAAGGAACAUUGGGAGGAGUUCAGCUGGGGACCGCUGGAGAGGAAAUCAGCCUCAGGACAGCCAAACUCCAGGAGAAGAUCACCUUCCUACUUCAUCCCCUUUCCAGCUCCCCAUCCAUCCCACUGACAGCCACCUCCACCACCCAAUAAAACCCCCACAUUCACCAUCCUCCAAGUCUGUGUGUCACCUGAUUCAGGACACUGGACAAGAGCUCAAGAUACAGAAAGCUGUCACACUGGCCCUCUGCCCUUGUGAAAAGGCAGAGAGUCUACUAAGCUGUUUAACACUUAAGCCAUUGGUGGAUGGCAAAGCUAAAAGAGCGCACUGUAACACAUGCCCACUUGGGCUUCAGGGGUCACAGGCGCCCACCCCUAGAUGCUGCUGUGGGGCCACAGCCCAGAAACACUCGCCCCAGCUCCUGCACCUGCCUGUCUGUGUGCUCCCCCUCCCAUAAGGGGUUUGAGCAGCGGCUGUGGCCAAACAGACAAGCCACACCCCUGUUGCACGUCCUGCGAGGGGGGGUCAGAGAACUCUCCCGUGUCACUGUCAAAGCUCCUAUAUGCAAAUAUGCUGCUAGGUUGAUUCCUAGAAGCUGGGAAAAAGCACUAGCCCAUACUAAGUGAAGUAGCACUGUCAGAAUUGCCAUGGCAAGUGAUAGAGAAAGGGACCGAAGGCCCAGAGAAGUGGGCUUGAUAAAACAGGCAUUUUAUAUAAGGUGAGAAAACCCACCAGCCAAUUACCUUCCAUGGGAUGGAGGCCUAGAAAGAAUACUUUGACUAGUAAAGUGAUCAAAAAUGUGUUGAUGAGAGGGGCACCAGCAUUAUUGAAGAAGCUCAGUGGUGGCUGUCCUUUGUAGACCAGGGCUGAGAAUAGCAGAUGCUCUUAUAGAACUCGCUUUCCCUAUAGCCACGGGAUGAUGGGGUUUCAAAUUAACAGAGGCCAGGAAGCGCGUGGCAUCAGAAACCAGGUGUAUGUAAUUACUGUAAUAAGGAACAAGGGGUGGCAGUCACAGCAGCCUGGCCCAGACAGAAUAUGACAAUUGUUAAUAGAACAUGGCACUCUGAAGGUCAAGAUAGAUAUGUGGGCAGCCACCAAGGGUCUCACUCAAUCUGCACAAUCAAGGAGGCUGAGGGAGGCACUCUCAUAAAAAGUCACAAUCUGUUGUCUAGUUUCUGGACCUGGGCCAGUUUUCAGACCUAGAACUUGGUAGCUGAAAGAAGAGCUGGGCCCUCAGCAGAAACUUGCAACGCCACAGCAAUGUAUAUGGUAUGAUUACCUUUAUUUAGCCUUCCCCACAGGACCUGUGGGCCAAGGGCAAUACCCAGAAACUUUGAGGACUGGUUGGACACAGACACAAGGCCUGAGCUAAUUGAUAUUGGACACCCAAGCCACCACCAGGGAGAAUGGAGGGUGAGGAGGCCCUAUGGGGAGCAGCUAAGAAGGUCCUGGUGCAGGUCUCGCAGUGGGCUCACUGGGUCAUAGAACUGUCCCAUGGUUAUUUCCCAUUAAGCAUAUAAGCAGAAUGGACAUAUUUGGCAGUUAGGUGAACCAACUAGUUAGUCAACCACAUUGAGGAAGGCCAAGUGGAAAUCUAUGAAAUUUCUCCCCACUUCCAGUCAAGAUGGUAAAUCACCAACAAUACUAUUAAUAUAUCCUGUGGGGACUAGAAGAGACUUAAAGGAGAGGGUUGGUGGCCUCCAUAUUCCAACUGAAUCACUAGUCAUCCAACUGCCCAACAGGUGCACAUUGCCCGCUGCCUAGACAGAGCCAAUUUAUCAAGACGGCAAUUGCAACGGAGAAAGAGUAAUUCACACAGAGCUGUGUGGGAGACUGGAGUUUUAUUAUUACUCAAAUCAGUCUCUCCGAGCAUUUGGGGAUCAGAGUUUUUUAAGAUGAUUUGGCAGGUAGGGUCUCAGGAAGUGGGGAGUGCUGAUUGGUCAGGUUGGAGAUGGAAUCAUAGGGGGUGGAAGUAAGUUUUUCCUGCUGUCUUCUGUUUCUGGGUGGGAUGGCAGAAAUGGCUGAGCCAGAUUACUGGUCUGGGUGAUGUCAGCUGAUCCAGGGAGCACAGGGUCUGCCAAAUACCUCAAGCACUGAUCUUAGGCUAGUAUCAAUUUUGUUUCAGAGUCAAAUCAUAAACUAAAUUCCUUCCCAGGAUUAGCUUAGUCUAUGCCCAGGAAUGAACAAGGACAGCUUAAAGGUUAGAAGCAAGAUGGAAUCAGUUGGGUCUGAUCUCUUUCACUGUCAUAAUUUCCUCAGUUAUAAUUUUUGCAAAGGUGGGUUUCAGUCAGGCCCUGCAAAAAGCAUACAAAUGUGGUAUAUUUCCUAGAGCAAAUUAACAGUGUAUCAGGUACCUGGCAUACAGCCAAUCUGGCAAGUGUAUUCUUAUCCACCCCUGUAGAAAAUGAGGACCAGAAGUAGUUUGCAUUCGUGAGGUGAAUAACCCUAUGCAUUAACAUGACCUUGCCCCAAGGUUAUGUUAAUUCUCUGCCCUCUGUCAAAAGAUAGUCUGAAGAAAGCUGAACCUUCUGGACAUGCUGCAGAACAUUACAUUCAUCCAUGACAUUGAUGACAUUAUGUCGAUCAGACUGGAUGAGCAAGAAUUGGGAAGUCUGGUGGAGAUAAACGCUAUCAAGACUCAGGAGCCUGCUGGGACAUUGUCUUCAAAAUAAAGGACUCAAAAGGAAUCACAUGUCCUAUACAAUCAACCUGGGUUCUGAGGUCAGCAUAGUCCAUUCAUGGGAACAUUAUUCUGGCCCAUUUGCCAAGACACAUGGAAAGCUACCAGCAUUGAGUGGGACCCAGGGGAGAAAAUAGCUCCACAGCCAGUCCAGGGUGUGAUAUAAGCAGUCUUGUCACUUGGUCCAUACAAUCUGGUAUUCAAAUUAUCUGUGAUUGAGAAAAAAUGCUAUAUAGAGUUUAUGGUAAACCUAACUGGAGAAUCACAAUGUAGACCCAUAGGGUUCUGAAGUAAGGCAACAGAGAACUAUAUGCUACGGUUUAUAUAUUUGCAACAGAGAACUACAUACUAUUUGGAAACAGCUCCUGGUUUGCCCCUGGGGUUUGGUAAAGAGUAUUUGAUCACACAACUUGUCAGACACUCAGCCACAUGUCUGAGGGGGCCUAGUAGGAAUCCAUCCUGAGAUUGAAGUGGUACAGAGGGCCUACGCAGACUGUAUGAGCAGGUGGUGCAGACCCUCCCGUGUCAUUCACUACUGUCACAGAAGAACUUUUCCUCAGCUCACGCAGAUGGCCGAUGGGGUGAGGGGUGAAUCCCUUACAACCAACUGAUGGAGGAGGAAAAAAGCCAAGUUUGGCUCAAGAUGGGUUGGUUCAAUACGUAUCUGCAAACCAUUAACGGACUACUGCAGCCAUACAGCCCCGUGCUGGUGGUCCUUUAAGACAGUAAUGAGGGAAAUCAUUGCAAGGCAAACAUCAGGCUAUGAGGUCAUCCACGUUAUGUGGAAAGAGAGCAGAGGCCAGAAAAAAACAUGGAGUCACGGGAAUAGCAAAUGGCUUGGCUAGUUGGUCAGGGGCCUAGGAGAAAGAAAAGACUGGGGACAGGGGUAGAGGCACAUGGACGGAUCUCUAGGAGUGGGCAUGGAAUGUAAAGAUUUUUGAGUGCAAGUUAACGCUCACCAGAGAGCAUCUGCUGUGGAGGAGGCACUCAAAAACCAAGUAGUCCAAAUCAUUGGUAGUAGUCCAACCAAGUAGUAGUCUAGUUGACAUCAGCCAUCUUCUUCAAUGGCCACUCCUGUGCUGGCAAAAUUGGGUGCAUGAGAGGAAUAGCUAUGGUGGCAGCAUGGAAAACGUGUAAAAAGAUUCCAUUCACCAAGAGUGAUCUAGCUACUUACUGAUGCUGCCAAAUAUUUAACUUGAGUGCAACAGAAAGCAAUGCUGAGCCCCAAUACAAUACCCAUCCUUUAAGGAGGGCAGCCAUCCCUCUGAUGGCUGGUUGUUCAUGCUGAGCCCCUUCCACUCUAGAUGGGAGCAGUUGUUUAUCUUGACUAGAAUUGACACAUGUUCUAGGUAUGGGUUUUGCCUUUUCUGCUUGCAUAGCUUCAGCCAACAGUAUCAUCAAGGAUUUAUAAUGUGUCUGAUUCACCAAAUACAUGACCAUGGGACCCACUGAUCCUAUCACAUACUGUAGAAGCUGGUGACUUGAUAGUACAAUUGGAUGGUCCUUUAAAAGUACAGCUGAGAUGCCAGUUUGUAAAUAAUAUUCUUUGAGGAUGGGGUAGCAUCCCUUAGGAUGUGGGGUACACCCUAAAUCAAUGACUGUUAUUUUGGUUAUGUGGCCCCAAUGGGUGGAAUUCAUGAAACUGAGAACCAAUAAGUAGAAGCAGAAGUGGCCCCACUUACCAUCUUUACCCGUGACUCACUUGGAGAAUUUGCUCUUCUUACUCUUGCAACUUUAGACUCUGUGGGUCUAAAGAUCCUGGUUUCCACAAGGGAAAAACUUCCAUCAGGAGAGACAGCAAGAGUCCCAUUCAACUUUAAGCUAUUGCUGUUGUAACCGGACCCCGGUUCAGCGGCUCACUGCUAGAAAGCCAGACAUGAGAGGUGAGAGUUGGUGGAAGGAAAAGUUGGCUUUAAUCAAGUGCUAGCAGGCUUGUGGAGCUGGUUUUUACAACUGGGUUAUUUUCCCUUCCACCACCCUCACUUCUCAUGUUUGGCUUUCAAGUGGUGAGCAGCCAUACCUGGGUCUGGUUACAAACAUGGCACCCCAUUAGAUGCGAACUGACCCCCAGCCCCUGCUCUGCUAGCCAUAACUACAGCUUUAAUUAGACAAGAGACUGAUUUUAGUAACUUUCUCCUGAUAAGAGAUCAUGACUAUGCACUAGUUCUGGCCUGUUUAGAGAAAUUGUGCACUUGUAUGCCUUUGUGUCCUGAAAAUAAUUUUUUUUUUUUUGAGACGGAAUCUUGCUCUGUCACCCAGGCUGGAGUGCAGUGCACAAUCUCGGCUCACUGCAACCUCCGCCUCCUGGGUUCACGCCAUUCUCCUGCCUCAGCCUCCCAAGUAGCUGGGACUACAGGCACCCGCCACCAGGCCCAGCUAAUUUUUUUGUAUUUUUUAGUAGAGACGGGGUUUCACCGUGUUAGCCAGGAUGGUCUCGAUCUCCUGACCUCGUGAUCCGCCCGCCUCAGCCUCCCAAAGUGCUGGGAUUACAGGCGUGAGCCACUGCACCCAGCUGAAAAGAACUUUUGACGUAUAGGGCCUAAUUGUAAUAGAUUUAAAUGUUAAGUCUCCACCCCAAAUGGAACAUGGGUCAUGUUCAUGUUACAUGCAUAUUUGUUUGAUACACGUCAUGAAUUCGCCUUGAUUUAUAUUAGUAGCUCCUCCUAUAACCUGUCACAUAUAUAUGUUUAGCUAACCUGUCAUCCCCACAGAAGCUCUGGGUACAAUUGACAGCGGGGAAUGUGCACUAUAAUUAAGACUGAAUGCUGUGUGUACAUUCCAGAUAACUCUGGAAAUACAUCCUCAACGCUGCAAGACAUGCACAAGCAAAUUAAUGCUACGUCUGAUCCCACAAUGUCCUUAAAUCAAUGGCCCUCUUCAUGAUCUAGAACAGGCCCCUCCUGGUGAAGAAGAAAAAAGGUUGCUCAUAAUUUUGUUACCGGAAAGGGGUCUUGAUCCAGACCCCAAGAGAGGGUUCUUGGACCUUGCACAAGAAAGAAUUCAGGGCGAGUCCAUAAAGUGAAAGCAAGUUUAUGAAGAAAGUAAAGGAAUAAAAGAAUGGCUACUUCAUAGGCAGAGCAGCAGCAUGGGCUGCUCAACUGAGUAUACUUACAGUUAUUUCUUGAUUAUAUGCUAAACAAAGGGUGGAUUAUUCAUAAGUUUUCCGGGAAAGGGGCGGAGACUUUCUGGAACUGAGGAUCCCUCCCCUUUUUACACUAUAUAGGGUAACUUCCAGACGUUGCCAUGGCAUUUGUAAACUGUCAUGGCUGGUGGGAGCGUCUUUUAGCAUGCUAAUGCAUUAUAAUUAACGUAUAAUGAGCAGCGAGGACUACUAGAGGUCACUUUCACUGCCGUCUUGGUGGGUGCCGUGGGUUUUAGCUGGCUUCUUUACCACAUCCUGUUUUAUCGGCAAGGUCUUUAUGACCUGUGUCUUGUGCUGACCUCCUAUCUCAUCCUGUGACUAAGAAUGCCUAACUUCCUGGGAAUGGAGCCCAGUAGGUCUCAGCCUUAUUUUACACAGCCCCUAUUCAAGAUCGAGUUGCUCUGGUUCAAAUACCUCUGACAACUUUAGCCGUGAUUAUAGAGAUAAGUUUAUUCUUCUGCUGUGGGCUGUAUUGCUGUUACACACCCACUAUGAUGCUCCAGCAGAUCUCUUCUGUAAGCCCAGGGACUCAUGAAUACUUUGAACUCCAGGAAGACAGGUUCCAUUCCAUGGCUCCCUAACUAUGCUGUUUUUCAGCAGGAACUAGCAAGAAUGAAUACACCAUCCCUAUUCCAUAGAGAUGGAAUACAAUUUGACAGUGGGGGAGUUUGUAACCAGGAACCUCAGCUUUAGAAAGUGCCCAUUUUCUUCUUCCUUCCCUCCCCUCUCACCUCUUCAUUCCUUCCCUCUGUAGGCACUCCCCUCUGACAAUGCAUGCUUAUCUAAUUAUGCUUUUGCUUAAGAAAUCCUGGAGGCUAAUCUUGAAACAAACCAGGCAUGGAGCUUCCAUUGUGGAAUUCUCCUGCUUAAGGGGAGUCACCAACAGGUGGAGGGCAGGUGGGUUACGACAAUGCCAACUAGAUAUUGAGAAAAGUGAUCUAAGAAGGCCCUUCGAACAAGACACACAGAUUCUACGCCCUGCGCUCCUCCUGCCUGUCUCCCAUACCAGGUUUCCCUUUCAAAGCCCUAUGGUAAAAUUUAAAAUUUAAGUUGGUACUUCAGAAAACUAGUUCAUCAUCUUCUUGGUUUCAUGCGCGUCCAUGUGAAGAGACCACUAAACAGGCUUUGUGUGAGCAAUAAAGCUUUUAAUCACCUGGGUGCAGGCAGGCUGAGUCCAAAAAGAGAGUCAGCGAAAGGAGAUAAGGGUGGGGCCGUUUUAUAGGAUUUGGGUAGAUAAAGGAAAAUUACAGUCAAAGGGGGUUGUCCUCUGGCGGGCAGAGUGGGGGUCACAAGGUGCUCAGUAGGGGAGCUUUUGGGCCAGGAUGAGCCAGGAGAAGGAAUUUCACAAGACAAUGUCAUCAGUUAAGGCAGGAACAGGCCAUUUUCACUUCUUUUGUGGUGGAAUGUCAUCAGUUAAGGCAGGAACUGGCCAUCUGGAUGUGUACAUGCAGGUCACAGGGGAUAUGAUGGCUUAGCUUGGGCUCAGAGGCCUGAGAUUCCUGUCUUCUCAUAUUAAUAAGAAAAAUAAAACAAAAUAGUGGUAAAGUGUUGGGACAGUGAACAUUUUGGGGGAUGGUAUGGAGAGAGAAUGGGCGAUGUUUCUCAGGGCUGCUUCGAGCGGGAUUAGGGGCGGCGUGGGAACUUAGAGUGGGAGAGAUUAAGCUGAAGGAAGAUUUUGUGGUAAGGGGUGAUAUUGUGGGACUGUUAGAAGAAACAUUUGUCAUUUAGAAUUAUUGGUGAUGGCCUGGAUACAGUUUUGUAUGAAUUGAAAAACUAAACGGAAUAAGAGAAGGAGAAAAACAGGUAUUAAAGGUCUAAGAAUUGGGAGGACCUAGGACAUCUGAUUAGAGAGCGCCUAAGGAGAUUCAGCAUAGUCGUGCCAGCAAAGAUUAUUUAUUUACUUCAAGACUUAAGAGUGGCAGUUUGGGGAUAGCACUAGGAGAUACCAGCUGUGAUGGCUUAGAGAAACCAUGUAAACCGGCAGUGUAAACAAGAGCAGGGCAUGUAUGAGUAGUUGAGAACGGUGAAUAGGAGUAUGACUAGAAAGAAGGUAGUAGGGAUGACAAGUUUCUUUGGGGCACAGUUUAAGUUGGUCUGGCGUCAAAUGAGUCUGGGGCCUAAUAAAAAGGAGCGUCUAUACAGAAGCUCAAAUGGGCUGUACUUUGUAGCAUUCUGAGGACAGGUCUGACUUUUGAGAAGGGAAAGUGGUAAAAGUAUUGUCCAGUCCUUUUUAAGUUGGUGGCUGAGCUUGGUGAGGUGUGUUUUUAAAAGACUUUUAGUCCGUUCUACUUUUCCUGAAGACAGAGGACUGUAAGGGAUAUAAAGGUUUCACUGAAUACUAAGAGCCUGAAAAGCUGCUUGGCUGAUUUGACUAGUAAAGGCUGGGCUGUUAUCAGACUGUAUAGAGGUGGGAAGGCUAAACUGAGGAAUUAUGUCUGACAGAAGGGAAGAAAUGACUGCGGUGGCCUUCUCAGACCUUGUAGGAAAGGCCUGUACCUAUCCAGUGAAAGUGCCUACCUAGACUAAGAGGUAUUUUAGUUAUCUGACUCAGGGCAUGUUGAGUAAAGCUAAUUUGCCAGUCCUGGGUGGGGGCAAAUCCUUGAGCUUGACGUGUAGGGAAGGGAGGGGGCCUGAAUAAUCCCUGAGGAGUAGUAGAAUAGCAGAUGGAACACUGAGAAGUUAUUUCCUUGAGGAUAGAUUUCCAUGAUGGAAAGAAAAUGAGAGGUUCUAAGAGGCGGGCUAGUGGCUUGUACUAUAGCAUAGCCUGCCUUUGCUGGUGUGUGGUGAUGAGGGCUGGUGGAACUGCCAUCAAUAAAUCAAGCAUGAUCAGAGUGAGGAACAGGAAAGAAGGAAAUAUGGGGAAAUGGGGUGAAUGUCAGGUGGAUCAGAGAGAUACAGUCAUGGUGUGGUAUCAGGAAUAAUGUGGGAGGCCGGAUUGAAGUCUGGGCCAGAAACAAUGGUAAUUGUGGGACUUAACAAAGAGUGAGUACAGCUGAAGGAGCCGGGGAGCAGAAAGUAUAUGCGUCAGGUAUGAGGAAGAAAAUAGAUUUUGGAAGUUAUGAGAAAUGUAGAGAGUGAGUUGAGCAUAGUUUGUGAUUUUUAGGGCCUCUAAAAGUAUUAAAGCAGCGGCAGCCGCUGCACGCAGACAUGAGGGCUAGGCUAAAACAGUAAGGUCAAGUUGUUUGGACAGAAAGGCUACAGGGUGUGGUCCUGGCUUUUGUGUAAGAAUUCUGACCGCACUAACCAUGCCUAGGAAGGAAAGGAGUUGUUAUUUUGUAAGGGAUUGAGGUUUGGGAGAUUAAUUGGACGCUAUCAGCAGGGAGAGCACGUGUGUUUUUAUGAGAAUUAUGCUGAGAUAGGUAACAGAUGAGGAUGAAAUUUGGGCUUGACUGAAGUAAUGGGGGCUGUCUGUGAAGCCUUGCGGCAGUACAGCCGAGGUAAUUUGCUGAGCCUAAUGGGUGUCAGGGUCAGUCUAAGUGAAAGCAAAGAGAGGCUGGGAUGAAGGGUGCAAAGGAAUAGUAAAGAAAGCAUGUUUGAGAUCUAGAACAGAAUAAUGGGUAGUAGAGGGAGGUAUUGAGUAUGGGUUUGGCACCACGGGUGGAUAGGCAGAACAAUUUGGUUGAUAAGGUGCAGAUUCUGAACUAACUUGUAAGGCUUGUCUGGUUUUAGGACAGGUAAAAUGGGGGAAUGGUAAGAAGAGUUCAUAGGCUUUAAAAGGCCAUGCUGUAGCAGGCGAGUGAUAACAGGCUUUAAUCCUUUCAAAGCGUGCUGUGGGAUGGGAUAUUGGCAUUGAGCGGGGUAAGGGUGAUUAGGUUUUAAUGAGAUGGUAAGGGAUGCAUGAUCGGUCACUAAGGAGGGAGUAGAGGUAUCUUAUACUUGUGGGUUAAGGUGGGGAGAUACAAGGGGAGGAUGUGAAGGAGGCUUUGAACUGGGGGAAAAGGUGGCAAUGAGGUGUGGCUGUAGCCCAGGAAUAGUCAGGGAAGCAGAUAAUUUAGUUAAAGUGUCUCGGCCUAGUAAGGGAACUGGGCAGGUGGGGAUAACUAAAAAGGAGUGCUUAAAGGAGUAUUGUCUAAGUUGGCGCCAGAGUUGGGGAGUUUUAAGAGGUUUAGAAGCCUGGCCGUCAAUAGCACAACAGUUAUGGAGGCAAGGGAAACAGGCCUUUGAAAAGAAGGUAAUGUGGAGUGGGUAGCCUCCGUAUUGAUUAAGAAGGGGACGGACUUACUUUCCACUGUGAGAGUUACCUAGAGCAUCUGUGAUAGUCUUGUAGGCUUCUGAGGUGAUCGGGCAGUGUCAGUCUUCAGCUGCUAAGCUGAGAAGAUCUGGGAAGGAGUCAGUCAGAGAGCCUUGGGCUAGAGUUCUAGGGGCUCUGGAAGUGGCUGCCAGGUGAGUUGAACAGUCCAGUUUUCAGUGGGAUCCUGCACAGAUGGGACAUGGCUUAGGAGGAAUCCUGGGCUGUGGGCAUUCUUUGGCCUAGUGGCCAGAUUUCUGGCACUUGUAGCAAGCUCCUGGGGAAGGAGGUUCUGGGGGAACCCCUGGCAGCUGUGGUUCAGGCGUUUGGAGUUCUUGUGUGCUGGAGAUGUGACGGGUUUGUCUCACAGUGGAGGCAAGGAAUUGCAACUCAGAAAUACAUUGCUACUUGGCUGCCUCUACUCCAUUAUUGUACACUUUGAAGGUGAGGUUAAUUAAGUCCUGUUGUGGGGUUUGAGGGCCGGAAUUUAAUUUUUGGAGUUUUAUUUAAUGCCGGGAGCAGAUUAGGUAAUAAAAUGUAUAUUGAGAAUAAGACGGCCUUUUGACCUUUUAGGGUCUAGGGCUGUAAAGCAUCUCAGGGUUGCUGCCGAACGAGCCAUAAACUGGGCUGGGUUUUUCAUAUUUGAUGAAAGAGCUUAAACACUCACUGAUUUGGGAGAGGUCUGAUAAAGAAAAAGGAGCAUUAACUUCCACUAUGCCUUUAGCUUCAGCCACCUUUUUAAGAGGAAAUUGCUGGGCAGGUAGGGGAGGGCUACUCACGGAAUGAAACUGUAAACGGGACCAGGUGUGAGGAGGGGAGGUGAUAAAAAGAUUAUAGGGUGGAGGAGUGGAGGCUGAGGAAGAAUUGGGACCUAGCUCGGCCUGGCGAGGAGCAGCCUGGGGAGGAGGGGAGAGGUCAGAUGGGUCUGUAGAAAAGGAAGAUUAGAAAGACUCAGCGAUGCUUGGGGUUGGGACUGAGGGGACAGGCGGGAGGGAAAGAAGGAAGAUUUGGGACGAGUUGCACUGGGCACAGAGGCUAGGGAGGGACUGAUGUGUAAAAGAAUGCCUGGACGUCAGGCACUUCAGACCAUUUGCCUAUUUUUCAACAAAAAUUAUUUAGGUCUUGUAGGAUGGAGAAAUCGAAAGUGCCGUUUUCUGGCCAUUUAGAACUACUGUCGAGUUUGUAUUGGGGUCAAGCAGCAUUGUAGAAGAAAAUAAGGCAUUUGGGUUUUAGGUCAGGCGAGAGUUGAAGAGGUUUUAUGUUCUUAAGAACACAGGCUAAGGGAGAAGGAGGAGGAAUGGAGGGUGGAAGGUUGCCUAUCGUGAAGGAGGCAAGUUUAAAGAAAAGGGAGAGUAGAGACAUGGAGGGAAGCAGUUCGGGGGUUCUUACCUUCCAGAAAAGCGGGAAAGGGGUCGGGGCGCAGAGAUACAAGGUCAGGACACGGAAAUAAGGGAUCAGGGCACAGAGAUAUUAGAGGUGGGGGUGCAGAAAUAAGGGAUCGGGGCGCACAGCUAUGAGGUUGGGGUACUUGCCCCUCCCCCAGAAAAGCGGGACUUGCUGCUAAGGGGGAAGGAGAAGGGGUUGUGGGGGUUUUUUCCUCCCAGAAAGGCGGAGAAGGGGUAGCGACACAGAAGGGGUUGGGGUACUUGCCCCUCCCCUAGAAAAGUGGGACUUGCCACUAAGAGUGAAGGAGAAGGGGUUGGGGGUUUCUUGCCCCCCAGAAAGGCGGAGAAGGGGUAGAGACACAGAGAGUAGGGGUUGGGGUACUUGCCCCUCCCCUAGAAAAGUGGGACUUGCUGCUAAGGGUGAAGGACCAAGGCAGGCAUCCUUGCAUGGUCUGACACCUUUGAAACCUGGGUGAAUAAUGAGAGAGGCAUCCCUGCAAUGAUUAAACACCAAGGGAAGGCUGCCUUCUCUAGUCCGUGACUGGCGCCAGAGUUUUGGGUCCAUGGAUAAAACGUGUCUCCUUUGUCUCUACCAGAAAAUGAAAGGAAUUGAAAUUAAGAGAAGGGAGAUAUUGAAGUGUGGUGCCAAGAUUGAAAGGAGAAAGAGGUUGAGGGAUAGUGAGGGAGGUUGGAGAAGAGAGUAAAAAGAGGCCGCUUACCGGAUUUGAAAUUGGUGAGAUGUUUCUUGGGCUGGUCGGUCUGAGGACUUGAGGUCAUAGGUGGACCUCUCUCACGGAGCAAAGAGCAGUAGGACAGGGGAUUGAUCUCCCAAGCGAGGUCCCCCGAUCUGAGUCACGGCACCAAAUUUCAUGCGUGUCCAUGUGAAGAGACCACCAAACAGGCUUUGUGUGAGCAAUAAAGCUUUUAAUCACCUGGGUGCAGGUGGGCUGAGUCCGAAAAGAGAGUCAGCAAAAGGAGAUAAGGGUGGGGCCGUUUUAUAGGAUUUGGGUAGAUAAAGGAAAAUUACAGUCAAAGGGGGUUGUUCUCUGGCGGGCAGAGUGGGGGUCACAAGGUGCUCAGUAGGGGAGCUUUUGAGCCAGGAUGAGCCAGGAGAAGGAAUUUCACAAGACAAUGUCAUCAGUUAAGGCAGGAACAGGCCAUUUUCACUUCUUUUGUGGUGGAAUGUCAUCAGUUAAGGCAGGAACCGGCCAUCUGGAUGUGUACGUGCGGGUCACAGGGGAUAUGAUGGCUUAGCUUAGGCUCAGAGGCCUGACACUUGGUUUGCUGGCUCUCCAUUUAAACCUGCUUUUCCUCCCACCAACCCUCUGUCUGGCUUUUGCAUGGUGAGCAGCUGAACCUGGGUCUGUUUACGCUGUCACCUAGUCACUUGUGCAGAGACAAGCAGGCAAGGAAAGAAGCUACCACCAUGGCAGGGGUAACCCACCAGGAUCACCAGGAGGAGGCGGGGCUGUCACACAGUGGGGGCAGGAGGGCACACAUCUGGCACCCAAGUGAUCCACUAGGGUGUCUCAUGGCAAUCCCCUGCCCAAUUUAAAUGGAAGACGGUCAGCCAUGUAGAGCAGACACUGCCUGAGAAUCAGGGCAUGGGGACUAGAGGUCCAGAACUCUCAAGGAUGAGGCAGCUUGGGUCACACCAGGAGGUAAGCCACCUUGACUAGCAGAGGUGAUGGCCAAGGGGAACUCUCAAAAGGGUAGUAGGGGAGGGAGAGAUGCAGAGAUGAGCAGUGCAAGAACUAAAGGGGAUGUUGUGGUGUUCUGCCCAGAUUCCACUUCAGGAGGGAGGUCAUCGUUCCCCUAGAUUCCAGAAGUUAUCCCUUCCCAGGGAUCACCCUCAGCUCUCUUUUUAAAAUCCAGGACAUCUUAGAAGGGCCAUCUAGCUCCAGGCCUCCCCAUGGAUUUUGACUAAAGCCUUUGUAGUAACUGCAUUGCAGUGCAAUUUCUUUCUGUGCCCUAUUUGCUUCUUUUACUCCUUCACACACAUUGUUCCUAAAAGCACUCUACCCCAAUAAACUUCCUCUGCAAAAAUGUCAGGCUCAGAGUUUGCUUCCACAGAACCUGACCUACUGCAGUCAACAUCUUAGUCCAGGCCAACAUUGCCUGGCAGCUGAAUUACUGUAAUAGCCUUCAAUGACUUCCUUAGGGACUCCCUUUCAAUGCAAAUGCCCUUUAGGUCUGCAGUCUGCUCCUAAAACUAAAAAGUCUGUUCAAUUUAGCACUGAUAAUGUCAAUUAUUAGCUUAUCUUCCAGGUGCAGAACAAAGACAGAUGAGAUCAAUGUUGCAUAAUCUAUUCUUUUUUUAACUCCCUUUUUCUUCUUCAAACACUUUUUUUUUUUUUAGACAGCGUCUUGCUCUGUCACCCAGGCUGGAGUGCAGUGGUACAAUCAUAGCUCACUGCAGCCUUGACCUUCCAGGCCCAAGCGAUCCUCCCACCUCAGCUUCCUGAGAAGCUGGUACUACAGGCACAAGCUACCACAACUAAUUUAAAACAAUUUUUUUUCUUUUUCUUUUUUUUUUUUUUUUUAGAGACAGGGUCUUCCUAUCUUGCUCAAGCCUGGUCUUGAACUCCUGGGCUCCAGUGAUCCUCCUAACUCAGCCACCUGAGUAGCUGGGACUACAGGCAUAUGCCAGCAUGCUCACCUAAUUUUUAAAAUUUUUUGUAGAGAUGAGGUCUUGCAAUGUUUCCCAGGCUGGUGUCAAACUCCUAAGCCCAAGCAAUCUUCCCACCUUGGCCUCCCAAAGUACUGGGAUUACAUGUGUGAGCCACUGCAUCUGGCCUAAACUUUCUUUUAAAAAUUAGACUUUACUUUUAAUGUCUUUUAAGUAUUUGUUUGCUCCUAGUUUAAAAGUUAUAAGAAAAAAUUAUUUGAUGUAAUUCUCCUCCUGCCCCAAAUUGAUGGUGUAUUUGGGAAAAAUAAUUAAAUUAUUCUUAGUUAGAAAUGUAAUAAAGUAGGAGGUCUCGUAAAGUGGUAUCCUUUGAACUGUAAGAUGAAGGGAAUUUCCAAGGCUUAAAACUAGUAAAUUUGACAACUAAGGUUAAGAUCUAUUCUCUCCAGACAAAGCAGGAAGGACAAGGGCUGCAGUAACCUAAUUAAAGUGGCUAGACGGAGGUAGGAGUUGGAUGUGAAAGCUGGAACCUAACUCAGAUGUAUGAACAUAACAAAAGCAAGAAUUUGAUAAUGGAAGAAAUGGGGUUGUUCUGCUUGGAGUCUUGCAAAAGGAAGUCAGGCUGGGUGCAGCGGCUCAUGCCUGUAAUCCUGGCACUUUGAGAGGCCGACGCAGGUGGAAAAGGAAGUCAACCAAAAUUUUUGUGUUUGCUGGAGUAAGGAAAAAAAUGAAAAUUAUUCUAUUACUAGUGAUUCAGGAUUUUUCUCAGCCCCUUCAUCAGACUUGUAACAGGUGUUCCCUGUUUACUCAGCCUGCCGCACUCAACCCCUUGUGAGAGGGAGCAUGUGAGUGAGUGAGUGUGGCUCAUGGUUUCCAUGAGGCUUGCUGUGUGGCCAUGGGCAGGUGAGCCAGGAGAAAAGGUGAUAUGCCGACCACUCUGGGUGCCAGCAGGAGCAGGCUCUGUGUGGGGGUGCCUGUGACCCCAAAGCCUAGAAGGAAUGUGACCGUGCUCUCUUAGCUACACAGUCUGCAGAUGGCUGUGUGUUAACAGCUCAGUUGGUUCCCUGCCUUGUCUCGUGGGGCGGCUGCCCUCUGCCAGCAAGGGCAAAGGGCCAGUGUGACAGCCUUUUUGGGUGCUUGCACUUGGUGGCUCCCAAGCUCUUGUCCAAGAAGAAUGCAGUUGCACAGAUACUUGAAGGAUGGUGAAGGCAGAUAAUUUUAUUUAGUGAUGGAAAUGGUUCUCAGUCGAGAGGGGAGCUGGAGAGGGGACGGAAAGGGCAGUUAGUCUUUCCUGAAGUCCGGCCACCUCUUCCCUGAAGUCAAGCCAUCUCUCUUCUCCAAAGUCCAGCAUCUCUCCUCUCUACAAGUUGAGUCUGGGGUCUUUAUCGGCACAGGAUGGGGCUGGGGCAGGCCGUAGGUAGUUUUGGAAAAGGCAACAUUUGAUUGGUAAAAAGACAUUACUCAGAAAGAACCAAUCAGGAGAUGGUAGGCAAACAGGAAUAUUAGUUCUCACUUUGGGCUGUGAGUUUCAGGCUAAUUUGACUUGAAGGUGAGGUUUCCUCAGGACAUGCCCGUCUGCCUAGAAUUUCUCUGUCUCUCACCUCUAUCACUAGAACAGUAAAAUAAUAAUAAAGCAUGUGUUUCCCAACACAGGAAGAAAAAAUACACUUCCUUGUGCUCUGUGUUCAUUAACUUCUGAUGCCAAUGUGGCCUCUCAGUUAUCUUCUGACAGAAAGCUGGGAGUGCCCUAAAUCUCUAGAACUGUAAAUUAAUAAACUGGCAUUUUGAUCAACAUAUUGAUCUACUACUUUUAUUAUCAUUAGUUGGUUCUGAGGCUAAUUUGGGUUCUCAAAAAAAUUAUUAAGUUUAUAAAACCUUUAGGUUCUGAAAAAAUCAAGUUUAAGUACUAACUCCUAACAAACCCUAAAAACAACCAUAUUUGGAUAGUCAAUCUGUCCCUCUCUAUCCACAUUAAUUCCAGCUCUUAUGUCAGCUUUCUCCUUUAUCUAAAACACACCUUGUACUUUUGAGGAGUUAAUGUUAAUAAAAAUUUCCCUAUGAAAAAAUGCGUCCCAAAUUUGAUUUUAUUUUCCAUGUUAUCUAGAAGAGAAGAGACUGAGGAUCUUGGAUUUUUAAAGGCCUCAUGUCCAGUUUCCAUGAGGCUUGCUGUGUGGCCAAUGGCAGGUGAGCCAGGAGAAAAGGUGAGCCUUGGUGUUAUGCCAAGCCAUCUAAUUACUGGAGACGCCAAUGCUUCCCCUAUGUUUCACUAGCCAUCAUUUUUUUCUUUUUUCUUUUUUGAGAUGGAGUUUUGCUUUUGUCACCCAGGCUGGUGUGCAAUGGCACAAUCUCAGCUCACUGCAACCUCUGCCUCCCAGGUUCAAGUGAUUUUCCUGCCUCAGCCUUCGAAGUAGCUGGGAUUACAGGCCUGUGCCACCAUGCCUGGCUAAUUUUUGUAUUUUUAGUAGAGAUUGGGUUUCACCAUGUUGGUCAGGCUGGUGUCGAACUCCCGACAUCUAGUGAUCUGCCCGCCUUGGCCUCCCAAAGUGCUGGGAUUACAGACGUGAGCCACUGUGUCCGGCUGCCAUCAUUUUUUUCAUUGGCCCUCUCAUCCAUGACCCACAUUACCUGUAGGUUGCCUUUGUGACCCGAAUUUCAAGGGGGUGACUUAAUAUAGGUAGAGAAAUAGUGAUGUUAAUGAGGAACUUGUUGGAACUUACAGAACUGAAUAGUUUUCUGGUUUCCAGAAAGAAAAAUAUUUGAUCCCAAUGAAGCUAUUUUUGGCUUCCUAUUUUCUGGCCCCAAAUCUUCCAAGAAAAAGUCUAAGGUCACACAAAAUGAAUCAUAUGCCUGUGGCCUGGGUGGUUUUCAGUAGUUAAACCAUUUAACUUUUCCAAACACUCAUUCCACCAAGCUCAGGAAAAAUACAAAGUUCACUCACUUCUUACCUGAAGCCUAUUUCAGUCCUUGGGUUACCUGUGGAGAUUUUAUUUCAUUUAGAAUGAAUGGAAAGGUUAAGCUAGGGCUGGAAAAGCACCCUGCAUUGGCUAAAUCCUGUCUCUGCUAUUGUUGCAGCUAUAACUCCACAGGGGGUCAUGUCUGAAAUGGAGGAGAGUUAAUAAGACCUUAGGCCAGGCCGGGCACGGUGGCUCACGCCUGUAAUCCCAGCACUUUGGGAGGCCAAGGCAGGCAGAUCACAAGGUCAGGAGAUCGAGACCAUCCUGGCUAACAUGGUGAAACCCCUCUCUACUAAAAAUACAAAAAAAUUUGCCAAGCGUAGUGGCACAUGCCUGUAAUCCCAGCUACUCAGGAGGCUGAGGCAGGAGAAUUGCUUGAGCCUGGGGGGCAGAGGUUGCAGUGAGCCGAGAUUGUGCACUGCACUUCAGCCUGGGCAACAAAGCAAGACUCCAUCUCAAAAAAAAAAAAAAAAGACCUUAGGCCAGGAAAAUCACUGCCUAGAAAAGUGAACAGGAAAAAACUCACUGUGCUGUAACAAAAAACACUGAUCUUGAAAUCAUGAGUAAUGUGACUCUGUCAUCUAACCAGAGCCUGCAAGAGUACAAAAUGUUGGUCAGAUCCUGCGUAUGUGUCACUGGUCUAGACAUCUCUGCUUUACCUGAGGUGUCUGGCCUACCUCUAUGAUACAUUUUGGACUGGGUGGGACACAGAUUUCAGAUAGCUGCCAUGCCCACACCCACUUUGGAGGCCACUGAUCUUGUUUUCCCUCAGCUCCCAUUAUUCAAGUGGAUUGGUUUGUACCACAAAACCCUGUGCACUCCUCUCACUACUCUAACCCUCCAAUAGUGGCUGGGUACAAUCAGUAGGCUAGCUAGCAACUAAGGCAUGGCUGAAUCUGAAAUGAAAGAAUAUAGCCAGUAAAGUCAAGGCAAAGGCAAGUCAAAGUUUAAGUAAUUAGAUGUUGUAAUAGAUGGGUGAGGAUGCCAACUGACAUUAAGAAAAGACUUGACAAGAGGUUAGCUUGUUUCAGAUCAACCCUUCAAUCAAAAAUAAUGAGGAAAGCUGUACAAAGCAUAAAAAUAUACUUGAAGGUGUUGGAGUGCUACCGCAGUAACUACGACUUUAGGGGCCAAGACCCCAGAGAGAAGGAAGCCCAGAGAGGGAAGACUGGUAUUUGGUGUUGUAACAGGACUGCCAGGUUUGUAUGCCCGCUGGGCGACAACAGAUCAAUACUACACUGACAACGGGAACUGCAGCAACAUUGGAAUUUAAUAAUCCAAGGCUGCUGGAUGAGAAAAUGGAGGGGAAUUCUCAAGCCAUGAAUCUGUUCCCUCGAGGGGUUCUGGGCGUGUCUUUAAGGGGAUGGUGGAGGACAACAGGCUGGAAAAUUGGGGUUGUUGAUUGGUCCUGGUAAAGAGAUGAAAUCAUAGGAUAUGGAAACUAUUCUUCCAUGAGUCAGCUUCUUACGGGGCCCUUCAGCCAGCCGGUGUCAGUAGUUUCGUUGAUAUGCAAAACCUAAAGGAGAAACUCUUAGAUUUUAGCUAUAGAACAAAGUCUUGUGACAAGGCCUACAUUUUCCUGGGGUAGUAAGCAGCGGCCAGCUACAGGGAAGUAGGCCAAAGGGCAAGCUGGCUUAAUGAUUACUGCUCAUUGUACUGCAAACCUAGUUGAAUUUUAUUUUCUCCCUUAAUCAAUUUUAUAAAGUUUUCUUGGGGAUGGUUUCAGUGCCACAUCUGCCAAUUUGAAAGCAGUGGCUGAGAAACUGAGCAGUGAUUUUGGACUUUCACAAGGCUGGGGUGUUUGUAAUUACAAUUCAGGGCCCGCCAAAGAUGAAACCCAGUCUUUAAGUUUGUAUAUCUAAAGGGCUACACCCUAGUAGUAAAAGAGAAACAGAUCAGUUCUCAGAAGGCUGAAGAUCAUCUUCCAAACAGCUCAUUCCCUUAUUUCCUACCUUGUUUGCCAAAAGUAAAAGUAGAUCAUCUUGAGGAAGAUUAUAACAUCUACAGCCUCAAUUAUGUACAGAUUUUCAUAUACUGUGUCUGGCAUUCAAUCAGAAUGUAUUCUGAAUGAAUACCAGUGUCUGGUAUUCAAUCAGAAAUACACAGACAAAAGACAAAACAGAGAAACAAGAGGGGGAAAAAAAAAACAACAGAAACAGAAUCACAGGAGACCCAGAUGUUGGAAUUAUCAUAUAUGAGCUUUAACUGUAGUUAAUAUGUUUAAUAAAUUAAAUAGUGAGCAAGAACAUCAGCAGGUAACUGGAAAUAUAUUAGAGGAUCAAAUGCAAAUUCUGGAACUGAAAAAUAUACAAAUUAAAAUUAAUAACUCAAUAGAUCAGUUUAGCAGAAUAUUAGAUACAGAUGAUGAAAGAAAAAUAACAACUGGAAGAUAUGUAGAAUAAAAUAUUUAAACUAAAUAUGGAGAGACCAAAGAUAGGAAAUUCAGAAAAGAACAUGAGAUAAAGGACAUGGUAAAAUAUGUGUAUAAUUGUGGUGUGAGAGGAGGAGAGAAAAAUAAUAUGGCAGAAGGAAUAUUUGAAGAGAUAAUGGCCAAGAUUCAGUGAUAAUAAAAAACACUUUGGCAAGAUAAAUACAAAGAAAACUACACACAGGCACUAUAUGGAAAGCUUUAAAAAUCAAAGACAAAAAUAAUUGGAGGAUUAAAAAUACAUUGCCCUUAAAAGAGCAACAAGACUAAAAAAAUCAUGAAAGGUAGAAGACAGUGGAAUGAUUCCUUUGAACUGCAGAAAGAAAAUAACUGCCAAGCCAAAUCUCUGUAUCUCACAAAAAUAAAGUCUCUGUAUUUAUUUCUGUAUCUCACUGAAAUAGUCUCUUUCCUCCAAAUUCAAGAUAGCCUUUGUUCACAGGAGUUGACUCGGGGUAAUCAAAAGUUAUAUGCAGAUUUUCAACUGUGCCGGGCGUUGGCACCCCUAAUCCCUGCGUCGUUCAAGGGUCAACUGUAUUACAAACACACAGAGGCACUACUGGGUAUCUGGUUAAGUUCAGUGCUAUCCUGGAAUGUUGACUUUAUAUGAUAAAGACAGGUCAAGAAUAUUUGCUUUAAGAUGAGGCCACAGAUGUGGAGUAUUUUUAUAUGGGCCGGUUGCUUCUGUAUCCGUAAAUAGUGCUCUCAUAAGAAAAAAGGAACCUCGGACUGAAAGAUGACUUUCCCCUUUUGGCAUGGUUCACUGGGCACUGAAACUGAAUGGCAUCUUUAAAAGUUUCACAGACAAGGUAGAUUCAUCUCCAGUUAUUUGCUGUUAAUGCUUGAGAAAUUGCAAAGCAACCUUGGGAUCCUCUUGCAUUAAAUUACAUUUUCCCAAGGAUGAAGCUUAAUUAUAUUUAGUUGCCUUGGAUAAGCACCUAUGGAGGAAAAAUUUUUUUUUUUUUUUUGGAGACAGCAUCUCACUUUGUCACCCAGGCUGGAGUGCAGUGGUGCAAUCUCAGCUCACCGCAACCUUCGCCUCCUGGCGGAGUAAUCUUCCCACCUCAGCCUCCCAAGUAGCUGGGACUACAGGCACACACCACUGUGCUCGACUAAUUUUCAAGUUUUUCUGUAGAAAAGGGGUCUCUAUUGCUCAGGCUAAGAAUAAAUAUUUUAUAUAAGUAAGUGCUUAUAUACCCAGGAAGCCACCAUUCUGUCAUGCCCUUACUUCACAAAGUGUUGCUUUCCACCCUUCCCCAGGGGAAAACACACCUAACAUGGCAAGAUUCAUUGGCUACAGUUCAGCGAAACAUUUUUGGAUCCUUUAGGAGGAAAAAUCUUACAUAAACUGCACUUUAAGAAUAAGGUUGUGCAGGAUCUGGAUUAAAAAAAAGAAUAAGGAAGAAGUUUUAUGGGACCUAAAUUUCACGUCAACAGCCCUUUGAAUCUCUGGCUCUACGAGGAAUGCAACUAAUCCAGGGAAUGCCUUUCUUUGAAGAUGUUUUAUGCCACUGUGACCCCAGAGGAAAGAUAGAUAGCAAAUUAUUUGGACUCUGAUGCAAAAGGCAUAUAAUCUGUAUCCUGCUGGUUCUGGUUCUUACUAAUAAAUAGUUAAAAUGAUGCAUUAAAGGAUUAUAAGUGAUUUAAUCAAGAAUAUGUCUAUUCUCAUUGUAAAUUAGCUUGCAUUUUCUGUAUUAUAUGUGAAAUCACUGAGUUAGUACACACUGCAAAUAUACCAAACAAGUUUGUACCUGCCUUUGAUGACCAUAAUCCAAAUGUUCUUUCCAUUUUCUGUAUUGUAGUUUAGUCUGUGAUUGAACAUUUUUAUCCUACAUGUUCUAUCUAAUAUUGUUAAUAUGUAACAUCGAGAUAAAUUCAGAAGACAAACUACAACCCUUGCACUAAGAAAAGUGUGAAACAGACCAUGUUUUAACAUGAAGUAUGAUGUACGCUUUUGAUCUAUUGCAAGUUGAAGCACAUGUUUACAGGCCAAAGCUUGUUUAAAAUGAUUUCAGAACCAAGUGUGAACAUGCCAUACAGAACUUAAUAUAGUGUACUCUAAUUUUUCUCAGUUUGACAAAAAAUGGACAGAAGGCAAAAUGAAAAAAAAUUUAUUUCCUCAGUGUUUUAUCCACUGUCAAUACUGUAUUUUUGAUGCAAUAUAUUUGCCAAAAGAACUCAGCUUUUAUUUUCCAUUUUAAACAACUACAAUAUUUACAAGCUGUUCAGAAUAACACUCAGACACACACACACUCACAGACACACGUAAGUACAUAUGUCCUUAUCUCUGGUUUAUACUGAAUGCUGGUAAAGGCCAUGAAUACUUUCCAGAGCCCAUGAUCAGAAAAGGAAAACCCAUUUUCCUUUCUUACGUUCACUUUCCUAGAAUCAUUUUCAAUAUUCCUCCUUCCAUUUCCUCAUGCAGAGCUCAUUGCCAGACUUGUAUAGGUUUAAUCAGUUUUUACAUUUUACUUUUACUUAAACUAUAAGCUUUUAAAAAGCAUAAGCAGACAUGAUUCCCCCCCCCCCCCCCAUUUCUAUUAUUUUGGUUGUAGAAUCAAGCUUCAUAGAUAAAAAAUCUUGUUCAAUCACAAGUACACUAAACCCAAGAGUCAUCUGGAGCAGCCAUCUUAUGCUCUAUCACUACUCUGUUGUGAAUUCCGGGGCACCACCUCAUUGUGCAGGUAAAACUCAGGAAUUCAUCCCCAUCACAGUGUUAGAUGACCUUUGUUCCUUCUAGCUUGGCUCCACUGAAUCAUAAAUUGUCAGGUACAGAGCUGAGGCAUAAGAAAAAAGGUAUAACCCUAUAUAAUAGGUAUAAGUCUUAGAACAGAGUUGUCAUAUAACCUUGUGGUGACAAUCAGCUCUAGUUCCACCAAAGAAUGUAAGGUUGAUUCCACAAAAUGGCAGAUAAUGAAGUUCAACUCACAAAUAGAAGUUAUCUUAAUUCAGAAAAAGUAUGUUGUAUGUAGGCAAUAAAGAUAAAUUGUUAUACAUAAUUCUUGACAGAUGACUCUGGUGAGGUGAUUCAAAGUAGAAAAUAUACUUCUGUUUCAAGCAAACUUACUCCACUCAUAUCCUACCAGAUUUAUUUGUAUAAUAAUUAAUUCCUUUCCAAUCACAGUUCUUCCUAGACAGACAUUUAACAAGUAAAAAUAAGACGGCCUGGGUGCAUAUCAAUCAACCAAAUUAAAAACAAACAAAAAAGAUAGAUAAAUGGAGAAAACGAUUGGCUUUUUAAUACUUAUUUUUAAAAAGCCAUAUUCAAUGUAAUAUUAGAAUUAUGCUGUCCCAAUGCAUGGUAGUAUCUAAUUUUUUUCUUCCUCAACACCAAUGAAACAAUAUCCAUGUAAGACUGAAACAGAAUGUCCAACCUCCAUUAGCAAGUUCCAUGUACCACAUUAGCCUUGACUGACGUUAUUAUCUCCACUAAUCUCUGAAUUAAAGGAAAAGCCUCUAGAAUAAAAAGGGACACUUUAUACCUUAUCUAAACCAUGUAUCCUAUCAAAAGAGAAAAUUAACUGGGUCUCUGUCCAAAGUAACUUUAUAUGAUUACAUUACACAGAAAAAGAAUACGAAUGAAUAAUGACGACUUAAAAAACAAACAUACACACACACACACACCCCAGAAAAGGCUUUGUCCAUAUUCAUGACAAAUUAAUUAAAAUAAAUAUAAAUGAAAUUAACAAUCUGGACAGCAGUUUAUGGUUAAGUAGCUAGUAAAUAUAAAUUCAAAGAAUUCUGACAAAAUCAUUAUUACCUUUUUCUCAAGUCACAUAUUUAUUUAGGAGGAAAGAUGCUUGAAAGCUAGCUAUAAGAAAAGGACAACUUUAGACACUGGGUGAAUCUUCAGCUUAAAAGGCCCAGUGCUGGAUGAAUGACUCACAACAGCAAUCCACCAAAUGCAGAGCUGCUAAGCAGAGGCAGAAGGAUGCUGCUCAGAAGCACAGAGGAAUUUAUCAAGGCUAUAAGCUAAACUUGCUGAAAAAUGUGAGGCUGAUUUUUAUAUUUUGGUAUGUGAUGGAAAAAUAAACUAAUUCAGAAAGAAAAACACAUCUUCUUAAUGGGUUUUCUACACAAAAACUUACAUUUUCAUUGCCUGACAUUUAGUAUACAGAGUAAUUUUCCAUAUCUCACUUAGGAUACAAAUAUUGUCUGACUACUUCUGUUUUAAGAAUUAUAAGUAGUUCAGAUAUACUUGAAAUAUUUUCCAAAAUACUUCGAAUCUAAUAGAAAUAGAUUAUCAUCCUCCAGUAACAAAGUCAAAGAAGGCAGAACACUGGUUAAGUUUGUUCACUAAUUUCCUAAAAGGUAAUCUCUUAAAAAAUAUACAUACAGCCUCACCACUUACUCUUCCAAGUUCCUUAAAUAUCAACAUCUUAUGUUAAUCUAGAUUCUUGGAAAAAUUAAAGUUCUUUAGCAAAAAGUCAACAUUAAAGUUUUAUCCAGUGUUGAAAAUGGUGUAAAAAGAGAGUUCACACCAAGGUAUAAGUUGGAAGAUUAACCAAAAACUUAGGAGUUAUAAAAUGUUUUUUGCCACUGAAUGAAAGAAAUAAAGGAAAAAAAGGCAAUAAUUUAUAACUCAUUCCACGAUUACCUUUCUCUCAAAAGAGGGGGUGGCGGAAGAAUUAAACAAGAAAAAGCAAAGUUUUCAAUCAUACAACUCCACCAAAAGGAAAUGAAUAAAAAAGCUAGUAUUUUAGUUACAUCUUUUAACUUUCAAAUUAUGGAAAUUAAAGCAUUGGCAAAUUUAUAAACUAAAGACAUUAAUGUAUGCUGAAGUCUUGUACAUAACUGAAAAAAAGCAGAGAAUCUAAACGAGUCACUCACUAUUCUCUGGGGGGUGAGGGGUGAGGCAGGAACAAGAAUUUAUGAUCAAUUUAGUUAACACAAGUAUGUUUAUUUCCAUAUAAUAAUUUAGAUCAAAUUAUUCUUAAGAAAUGGAUCUUUCUUCAAUUAUCACCAAUUCCCUGAUGCAAUUACUAGAAAAGUAUUAUGAUUUUUAAAAGAUUGUCAGUUUUAGACUCUUAAGAAAAACAACAGGGCUUCUUCUCAGGGUUCCUAAUUUAUAAAUUCACUAAAGAAUUAUAUAUGUUAACAAAAUUCAACUUGUUUUGAGAAAAAUAUAUGUCAAUUGCUACCCAAAAUCAAAACCCAACAUAUAUGUUCCAUAUAAAGUCUAGUCUUGCAUUUGAAAUCUGACUUUUCAGAGUAUGUGAUGUGUUUAAAAUUUUUUUGGAGGAGGGGCUAGAAAUUAAAAAAUUCUAGCCCUUCAGAUUAAAUCAUGUAAAGGUCAGAUUUUUUUUCUGUGUGGGAAAAUGAAUUAUCUUCCAUCUAAGAUUGAAAAGGCUCUACUUUUAUCUAGGCAAUGACCAUGAAAAGAUCAUAUUCACUUCAGAAAGGGAAGAAGCAGCAGGGAACAUAGUUCCUUUCAGAAGAUUUUAAAAAUAUACGUAUACAGAGAAAUAGAUUAUAAAUUCAGUUUCAGAAAAAAACCCUCCAAAACCAAAAACAACACUAAACUUUAAUGGCAUACUGUAGAUCUGCCAAAAUGAGGCAAAUGCAGAACAUAAUGACGGUAUCACAAAAAUACAUUUUUAAAUGGUCAAUUUAGAAAGGGUACUUUUGUAUAAAGGUUCAGUAAAUCAUUUGACAAGUAUUUUUAAACAGUAAAUUUUGUAAAGUGUGAAGUCUAUGGAAAUGUCAACACAAGGCACAUUAGGUUCUGAAUGACCACAAAAGUUUAAAAUUAGAAAAAGGGAAAAUAAAUAGGUUUUAAAGUGGAAAUGCAGUAAGUUCUGUAUGUUCACUAUUUACUUUCUUAGUUUUCAUUCCUUCUACUGUAAUGUUAUGCUAUAAUGUGAGAUCUACAUCAGAAUUGGUAGGAAAAACAGCUUCUCUCUUCUGUCACCUCAACAAAAGAUACUUUAAAUCUGUACUGUCUAAUACAGUAGCCACUAGGUACAUGUAGCUAUUGAGUACUUGAAAUAUGGCUAGUGACAUAUGAUGAAAUAGUAAUACUUUGACUAUACUGGGUGAAACAAAAUGUAUCAUUAAAAUUAAUUUUACCUGUUUCUUUCAAUGAUUUAUUCACAAGGGGUAGAAAGAUGGCUGCUCCUAAAUGCUCAGAGGAGAUGUACAAUUUUCUUUGGAGUUUCACACCAAAAGGGAAAAUUUUAUCAAGGAUUUAAAAAAUGCUAAGAGUUGCAAAUUAAAUCUAAAUUGAAGUUCCUAUAUCGCCCAAUUGUAAAUAUGAGUAAUAUAUUUCCCUGAAUAUGCAUUUAAAAAAAAUAAAGUUAUGAGACAACAUAUGAAUUAAGUCAAUUUCACAGUUAUAAAUAUUUCAAUUUACAGCUACACACUAUAAAUUACAGGAAAUAAAAUUCAAGUAACAGAAAAAGAAGAGGGGAAAAAUAAAAAGCAAAAUUAUUAAAGAGGGAUAUAAUAAUAACUGCACCACUUGGAUACUUUUAUUUGAAAAAAAAUUUUACUUGACUAACUGAACUGCAUGUGAAUAACUUCAAGAGCUAGAAACUCAUAAAUAAAAGGCAAUCGAUCCUUUCUUUAAAUUCCUGGACAUUCAUCUUCUUCUUAAAGAAAAUUGUUUUCUUCCCAGAAGCACGCCCAGCAGAGCUUGCUCUGGUGGAGAGAAGCAGAGCACAUGGGCUCCUCUGAGAUGUAGACACAGGAGCUGGCAGUGGUGUUCACAAGACCGAUCCGCUGACUAUUGGCUCUGGGAAAUGUCAAUGAUGAAGCUACGUAUAUCUUGAGAUUCUAUAUUCACUUUAAAGAAAAUACCCAAUGUCCUGGCAUGAAGUACACACUACUAACAGAAAAAUGAGCAGCACAGUUCCUGCUACCUGUGUUUAUAAGGAAAGGGAAGGGGCUAAUCCCAAAGGCAAUUUAAAUAAUGGUAUUUUAUUUUUAUAUAUAAAUAAAUGUUCUGAGAAAUCUCAGACUUUAGUGCAUUGCUGUAAAAAAUUAGUGCAGUUUUUUUUAUUAAAGUUUUUAGCGCUCAAGGAAUAAGAUAAAUCUAUGUCUGUUCAUAGUCUCUUUCACUGUACAUUAAACUUUUAUACUGCUAUAAGUCAAAAGGAACAUUUCUACACUGGUCUGUUCUUAAAAAUCAAGGUAAAUGAAUUUCAUGUUCUAUGACAAAACAUGGCAAUUAUUUUUGGCAAAGAAAUUAGAAAAAUAUGAGAUCAUAGUUUAGAAAUGAAGAGUUUGUUGAUUUAAAGCAUAGGCAAUGCAUAGGAAAAACUUUUUUUAAGGAUGUAUUUUAACAGAACUUUAUCCUUCAUGCAAAAUGUUUUCUCGGCAGCUAACUUAAAAAAAUAUUUCAGCUUUAUUUGGGGAUGGAGACAGUGACAGGAGUCAGGGUGAAGGGCAAAGGAGAGGUGCUUAACCAAGCUCAUUCUAUUUUCAGUCGCUCCCACAUAGGAUCAAAGUGAUACCUGCAGGCAUCUUCUGCUUGUUCCUCUCUUUUUCCAAUGCCUUGGAAUUGAGAGGGAAAAAGAAAUGUCUUUAUAAUAAACACUGGCUCACACUUCAGCCCCAAGUUCUAGUACCCCAGUUUCAAUUACAGUCACAUAUUUAUCAUCAAUCUGGACCAGAAGCACUGCCUUGUCGAUGUGGGAUCUGGUACCUGGAUCUCUGCUGCAAGGCACCCAUCGGUGAAUCACCUAAUGAUUCAGAAUAAAACAAGAAGUUAGCACUGGAGACCUGGAAUAUACUCACAAACUCUUACCCCUACCUAGGAUUAGUAGUAGCAAUUUUGUCUGAAAAUUAUACGUUUAAGUAUAAAUCAGCUAAAACCAUGCAUCCAAGUGAGGCGGACUUCAAAAAAGGCAGAGCCCCAGACCGCCAGCUUGUAAAAGAACUUACAUGGCCUUCCAUGCCCUCCUGCGGACUCCAGUCUUUCCAGCUAUUUCUCCCAGCUUUUAACCGGAUUCCUUCAUCAGGCCACUGUAGCUCUUUCCUUUUAGACAGGUUGAUCCCUUCCAGAAUUUGACUGGGAUCCACAAUCUACAUGGUAAAUAAAAACAUUUCCAAUUCAUUUUUUUCUUGAUGAUGAAAAAUUAUGUAAUCUCAAACAAAAUGCUUUUCACAGAGAGGAAUUACUUUUUAAAUUCCUAUAAUGGAAUAAAAAAAAAAUCUUAAGAGCUACAUCUUGAAUUCUUUUCAGCCCUCUGGUAGACCUCACUGCAAUGUCCAUGAGACAGUGGCUGAACAAGGAACAUAUAUCACCAUCACAAAAACUGUUUGCUUUCAGUUUUUAAGUUUGAAGAAAUUUUUCCCCAACAUUCAAAAAUAUUCUAGUCCUGAGACUAAGAUAAGGUGUGUAUUCACAACAGUCCUUCAUUCAACAAAUAAGAAAUAAAAACAAAUAAGUAACAAAAACAGCACAAGACCACCUCUGGGCUUACUUACUUGGACUCUGUAAAUCACUUCUGCCUUUCUGGAGUGUGAAUUGUUGGCAGGACUUAAGGUGUUGCCUGGCUGUGCAUCAGUGGCACUGCUCUGACCUCCCUCUGUCGCAAGAAAGCCCACGAGAGUGUGAUGUUUGCAGGCUGGGAUGCUUUGGCUGGAGCUGCUGGAGGAAGGCAGGCCGUGCUGCACACAGGCCAGGCCGCUCUGACCUGAGGGUUCCAUUUGGUUCACCAUCGACAGUCGGGAUUGGAUGGAUGAUGGCAAGUUUCGAAGCGAUAUCUGACUAGUAGAAGAGCGCCGACAAGGCACAAACCCAGUGGUGGACAUCCGGAGGGAUGAAUGCCGGCUGCUAUAGCAGUAGGAAGACUGGCUGGCUACUGAGGCCCGGGCAGGAGACUGUCUGACCAGGCCCGACUGCACAGAGUGAGAGCUGUGGCUAGUGCCUAGGAGGAGAAACAGCAGCACUCACUCAAAGUAGAAUGACUCAGACACAAUACUUCUGUUUUGCAGUUUCUAAGACUUUUUCCCCUAAGCAAUUAAUUGGUGAACUGACAGAACUUAACGUUUAUGCCUAAAACUUUUAAAGUUAAGAAAAAGAAAUACGUAUCUGAGAUCUAUUUUCUUUUGUGGUUCUUGUAAUAUAUUUUUUAUUUGCUAAAGUUUUUUAAAGUUCAAAUUCUGUGGCAUAUGAAAGACAAUUAAUAAUUAAAUAUUUUACAGCAAAUAUCAGGACUUAAGGUUGGGAUAAAUCCUAAAAUAUGUUUCACAGAAGCAUUUUAAAAUAACAAGAAUACUUCCAUAAUAUAUCAGAAAUGAAAUAUCUCACGGAAAUGAGACAGUCAGAAGGAUUUACUAAGAAACACUGCAUGAUCUCACUUGUGGAAUCUGAAAACCCCGAACUCACAGAAGCAGAGAGUAGAAUGGUGGUUGCCAGGGGCUGGGGAAGAGGAGGUGUUGGUCAAAGGGUACAGAGUUCCACUGAGUCAAGAGGAACAAGCUCUGGAGGUCUACUGUACAGCCUGGGGACUAGAGUUAAUAAUAAUGUGUUGUAUGCUUAAAAAUUGUUGAGUAGCUCUAAAACAUUCUUAUCACAAAGAAGUAUAUGAGGUGAUGGAUAGGUUAACUAGCUUAAUUUAAUCAUUUCACAAUAUAUUCACAUAUCAAAACAUGAUGUUGUAUACCAUAAAUAUAUAUAAUUUUUGCCAGUUAAAAAGAAAUAUUUAUUAAGGCCCUACUAUGUGGCAAGCUCUAUAACUACUAUUUCUCAAAGUAUAGUAUUACUGCCCUUUCAACUUCUACCAAGGAAAAGCUACACUGUCUAUAGAGAGACAGUGAAUACCACGCUGUAAUUUUCAUAUACAUUUGGGGAUCACUACUAAAUCGGAAUGAUCAGUGGCACUGAAAAGCAGGUUCUUCUGCAUCCUUUUUCAAGUGGCUUGAUAUGAUUCUUCAGACUUGUCUUUUUCUUGACUCAUAAGAGUAAUGUAAAAUUAAUUACAUUGAAACAUAGCUACAUGUACUUUUUACCUAAAAAUAAAAAGAGCUAAUCAAGGUAAGAACAAAAAGUACAUUUAAAGAACACUGAAAGUUUUAGGUUUUCACCUAAAUAAAAAAUAUUUAAU
RNAcentral lists this long non-coding RNA (35669 nucleotides) under Homo sapiens (human). RNAcentral's name for it is "non-protein coding lnc-MAP3K9-10:2". Lineage: Eukaryota; Metazoa; Chordata; Mammalia; Primates; Hominidae. The record is from RNAcentral.